UUUUAUUUAGUCUCUUGAAUUUGCGCCAGGCUGUGACGAAUCGAUGUCACUCUGUUUAAAUAAAUAAAACACGUUAACAUUUAUUUAAUCAAGUAAUUUAAGAACAAAUUCUUAUUUACAAUGACCCCGGCCAAACCCGGACGACGCAGGGCCAAUUGUGCGCCGCCCUAUGGAACUCCCAAUCACGGCUGGAUGUGAUACAGCCUGGAUUCGUAUCAGGGACUGUAGUGGCGCCUCUUGCACUGAGAUGCAGUGCCUUAGACCACUGGGCCACUCGGGAGAGCAUUAAAAAAUAUAUCGACCUCUGUAGAGUAGGCAAAGUCUGUAUCAACAUUAUAAAGAAAAAAAGUUUAUAUCAAAUCAAAUGUUAUUAUUAUUGGUCACGUACACAUAUUUUGCAAUGUUACAUUUCGCAGAUGUUACCUCGAGUGUAGUGAAAUGCUUAUGUUCCUAGCUAACACACAUCACGACAAGAGAGACACCACAACACUACAUAAAGAGAAACCUAAGACAACAACAUAGCAGCAGCUCAACAUGGUAGCAGCACAAUACAUGGUACAAACAUUAUUUGUCACAGACAACAGCACUAAGGCAAGAAGGUGGAGACAACAAUACACACAAAGCAGCCACAACUGUCAGAUUCUGUUUGGCCAGUGGCCAUACUAGUGGGUGCAGGAAACUGUCUUUUACCGGAAUAAUUCACUUCCUCAGCUGUAGCAGUUCCACAUUACCUGUGAAACAGGAACAGGACCUGAGCCCUAGGAUCAUACCUCAGGACUACCUGGCUUGAUGACUCCUGGCUGUCCAUAGUCCACCUGGUCGUACUGCUGCUCCAGUUUCAACUGUUCUGCAUGCGGCUAGGGAACCCUGACCUGUUCACCGGACGUGCUGUUUUCAACUCUCUCUCUCUCUCUCUACCGCACCUGCUGUCUCGACCUCUAAAUGCUCAGCUAUGAAAAGACAACUGACAUUUACUCCCGAGGUACUGACCUGUUGCACCCUCUAUCAACACUAUGAUUAUUAUUUGACCCUGCUGGUCAUCUAUGAACGUUUGAUCAUCUUGAAAAACAAUCUGGCCUUAAAUGGCCAUAAUCCCCCCCCCCCGGCACAGCCAAAAGAGGCUCUGAAGCCAUCCCUCAGAGCCUGGUUCCUCUCUAGGUUUCUUCCCAGGUUCUUGCCUUUCUAGGGAGUUUUUCCUAGCCACCGUGCUUCUACAUCUGGAUUGCUUGCUGUUUGGGAUUUUAGGCUGGUUUUCUGUAUAAGCACUUUGUGACAUCUGCUAAUGUGAAAAGUGCUUUAUAAAUACAUUUGAAUGACUAAUCUCUUGGCAAUUGGAGUUUGUGGAGUACAUUGUUUGUGGAAGAUCCUGGUUCUACUUUAGGCCUACUUAUACCAAACAGUAUGUACAAUGACCUGGUGGUUUGUGAAGGGCGCGUCAGCGCUUAGUACACAAUUGUGUUCGGCAUUUCAAGACGGCAGAUUAAUUAUAAACUACAGCUUCAUCCAGAGGUCAGAUAAGAAAUAUUUCAGGGAGAAUUCAGACUCCAGAGAAUUGUACCUUAUACAUACAAUUCAUCCUUCAUGUAUUCUGUUAGAUAUCCAUCAAGUAGAUGGUUCAAUGUCUAUUUUUUUCAUCAAGGAAAAGGACAGAAAUAAAUGAGAUGCAACAAAGGGCAACAGAAAAAAACAUUGCCUGACGUUAUCCGUCGUUUAGGGUUGCAGCACACCCUAUCAGCAUUACACUAU
Molecule: long non-coding RNA, 1746 nt
Organism: Oncorhynchus keta (chum salmon)
Lineage: Eukaryota; Metazoa; Chordata; Actinopteri; Salmoniformes; Salmonidae
Exons: 3
Source: RefSeq, a predicted model, not a curated record